Molecule: long non-coding RNA, 651 nt
Filed under: Ananas comosus (pineapple)
Lineage: Eukaryota; Viridiplantae; Streptophyta; Magnoliopsida; Poales; Bromeliaceae
Description: long non-coding RNA (ACOM_LNC009188)
Source: RNAcentral
UACAUUUUUUUUGUUUUAAAUAUACCGCUUGUAUAUUUUUUUUGUUGUUCAAAAAUAUCCCUGUUGUUAAUAUCUGUUAAAUCAUAUUGGAUUAAAUCUGAAUUAAAUUUCUAAUAAAGUUAAAAAAAGUCAAAAUAUCACUUUUUCCCCCAACUAAAGGGCAAAUAAGAAAAGAUAGUAAUUUAACUCUAAGAUAUAUUUGAAAUAACUUGGAAUAUUAAAAGGACAUUUUUAACACUAGUCUUUUAAGAGAGAAAAUAUAUUUCUCUUAUGAUCUGUCCAAUCUAAAAUUCUACCUAUGGUCGGCAGCUCGAAUCAACCUAUCUAUUGUUUUUUUUUCCUAUUUUUUAUUCAUACUUUUAUAAAAAAAAAAUAGAUUUUAGUUAUUUUAAUUAAAAUAAAAUUUUAAAAUAAUAAAAUUAUCAUUAAAGUAACUAUAUUGUAAAUGACAUUUAUAUUAGGAAUAAAAUAUUUAGAACUCGAAUAAUAUUCUAAACAAAUAAAAAUUAUUUUAUAAUUGAAAUAUUUAUUUGUGGACACAUUUGGCACAGAUCAACGACUGGUUUUGUUUGGCAGAUUCAGAACAGAUCAAUUGAUUUUGUCAUCGUCUUCUGCCCCAAUUUCAUACUGGCUCAUAAAAAUAGCCACAUU